This 222-nucleotide ribosomal RNA is filed under the name Triticum aestivum (bread wheat). Its description in RNAcentral is "partial small subunit ribosomal RNA". Lineage: Eukaryota; Viridiplantae; Streptophyta; Magnoliopsida; Poales; Poaceae. The record is from RNAcentral.
AUGAAACUCAUAUGUUGGAACUGCUGUGGCAUGGCCAGUGCUGCGGCAGAAAUAGCGCUUCUGGAUGUCCAGAAGCAAUGGGGGCCGAAUGGUGUCUUCCUAUCUGAGACGCAUCUGAAUAAAGCUAAGGCAGGGAAGCUAAGGAAAAAAGUAAAAAUGGAUUGCAUGGAAGUGCAUGAAAGUGAUGGAGCAAGUGGGGGUCUGCUUCUGUUUUGGAGGAGA